GAUGAACGCUGGCGGCGUGCCUAAUACAUGCAAGUCGAGCGAACAGACGAGGAGCUUGCUCCUCUGACGUUAGCGGUGGACGGGUGAGUAACACGUGGAUAACCUACCUAUAAGACUGGGAUAACUUCGGGAAACCGGAGCUAAUACCGGAUAAUAUAUUGAACCGCAUGGUUCAAUAGUGAAAGACGGUUUUGCUGUCACUUAUAGAUGGAUCCGCGCCGCAUUAGCUAGUUGGUAGGGUAACGGCUUACCAAGGCAACGAUGCGUAGCCGACCUGAGAGGGUGAUCGGCCACACUGGAACUGAGACACGGUCCAGACUCCUACGGGAGGCAGCAGUAGGGAAUCUUCCGCAAUGGGCGAAAGCCUGACGGAGCAACGCCGCGUGAGUGAUGAAGGUCUUCGGAUCGUAAAACUCUGUUAUUAGGGAAGAACAAAUGUGUAAGUAACUAUGCACGUCUUGACGGUACCUAAUCAGAAAGCCACGGCUAACUACGUG
Molecule: ribosomal RNA, 497 nt
Filed under: uncultured bacterium
Lineage: Bacteria
Description: partial 16S ribosomal RNA
Rfam family: Bacterial small subunit ribosomal RNA
Source: RNAcentral